RNAcentral lists this ribosomal RNA (154 nucleotides) under Hymenochaete rhododendricola. Its description in RNAcentral is "5.8S ribosomal RNA". It matches the Rfam family "5.8S ribosomal RNA". Rfam says of the family: 5.8S ribosomal RNA (5.8S rRNA) is a component of the large subunit of the eukaryotic ribosome. It is transcribed by RNA polymerase I as part of the 45S precursor that also contains 18S and 28S rRNA. Lineage: Eukaryota; Fungi; Basidiomycota; Agaricomycetes; Hymenochaetales; Hymenochaetaceae. The record is from RNAcentral.
AACUUUUAACAACGGAUCUCUUGGCUCUCGCAUCGAUGAAGAACGCAGCGAAAUGCGAUAAGUAAUGUGAAUUGCAGAAUUCAGUGAAUCAUCGAAUCUUUGAACGCACCUUGCGCCCUUUGGUAUUCCGAAGGGCACGCCUGUUUGAGUGUCA